Non-coding RNA from Mycena crocata, 101 nucleotides. Lineage: Eukaryota; Fungi; Basidiomycota; Agaricomycetes; Agaricales; Mycenaceae. The record is from the annotation of a GenBank genome assembly.
GGUCCGAUGGUGUAGUUGGUUAUCACUUCUGUCUAACAUUUACAUGAGAAAUUGAGUAAUUGGGACACAGGCGGUCCUCAGUUCGAACCUGGGUCGGAUCA